AGAGUUUGAUCCUGGCUCAGGAUAAACGCUGGCGGCGUGCCUAACACAUGCAAGUCGAACGCCCUUAGCAAUAAGGGAGUGGCGGACGGGUGAGGAACACGUGGGUAUCUACCUUGAAGUGAGGAAUACCAGCGAGAAAUCGCUGACAAUACCGCAUACCUUCUGCAAAGAAGAAAGUCGCAAGACGCUUUGAGAUGAGC
This 200-nucleotide ribosomal RNA is filed under the name uncultured bacterium. Its description in RNAcentral is "partial 16S ribosomal RNA". It matches the Rfam family "Bacterial small subunit ribosomal RNA", at positions 8 to 230 of the family's 1533-position model. The record is from RNAcentral.